UACGUAGGGUGCGAGCGUUAAUCGGAAUUACUGGGCGUAAAGGGCGCGUAGGUGGCGGCCCAAGUCCAUGGUGAAAGCUCGCCGCUUAACGGCGAGUCGGCCACGGAUACUGGGUUGCUCGAGCACUGUAGGGGCAGAUGGAAUUCCGGGUGUAGCGGUGGAAUGCGUAGAGAUCCGGAAGAACACCAGUGGCGAAGGCGGUCUGCUGGGCAGUUGCUGACACUGAUGCGCGACAGCGUGGGGAGCAAACAGG
RNAcentral lists this ribosomal RNA (253 nucleotides) under uncultured bacterium. RNAcentral describes it as "partial 16S ribosomal RNA". It matches the Rfam family "Bacterial small subunit ribosomal RNA", at positions 524 to 776 of the family's 1533-position model. The record is from RNAcentral.